GACGAACGCUGGCGGCGUGCUUAACACAUGCAAGUCGAGCGGUAAGGCCCUUUCGGGGGUACACGGGCGGCGAACGGGUGAGUAACACGUGGGUGACCUGCCCUCAGCUCUGGGAUAAGCCUGGGAAACCGGGUCUAAUACCGGAUAUGACUCCAUGACGCAUGUUGUGGGGUGGAAAGCCUUGUGCGGCUGAGGAUGGGCCCGCGGCCUAUCAGCUUGUUGGUGGGGUGAUGGCCUACCAAGGCGACGACGGGUAGCCGGCCUGAGAGGGCGACCGGCCACACUGGGACUGAGACACGGCCCAGACUCCUACGGGAGGCAGCAGUGGGGAAUCUUGCGCAAUGGGCGAAAGCCUGACGCAGCGACGCCGCGUGAGGGAUGACGGCCUGG
This 390-nucleotide ribosomal RNA is filed under the name uncultured bacterium. RNAcentral describes it as "bacterial SSU rRNA". It matches the Rfam family "Bacterial small subunit ribosomal RNA", at positions 28 to 419 of the family's 1533-position model. The record is from RNAcentral.